CUUCUUACCAAGAACUCUCUCACUUGAAGGUGAACAACUUAAAGCCUGAGCUCAGAGAGUUACCCGAAAAGUGAUUUGAGUAUUUAUUGAACUGAAAGAACAAAUUACCUACUUCAGGCGGUGGGAAGCGUAUGGAAAUUAUAUUAGAACUUCAGCAAAGUGCACAGCCGCAUAAUACAGAAGCCGAGACUCAGAUUGACAGGCAAAUAAGCCAGCUCGUGGAAGGGGCCUCUGGGUGGCAGCUCUGGGCUAUUGGGUGUUGGACAACUAUAGGCAAAACUGAAAUGGAACAGGGGCAGAAAAUAGCACAUUUUAACGCUGCGCAACUGUUGCUUUCUCAUGGUCAUUAGGAAUUUUGUUGGGAUAAUCCUCCAAAUGAAUUUGAAGCAUUCUAUUCAAAUGUCUACAGAUGCACGGCUGGUGGUGUGGCUCAGACGGAGCAAGGGUUACAUCAAGGCUGUUCUCUGGACCGUGCAAACAGUCUAGACCAAUGACCUGCAGCAUCAUGCCCUUUGAAGAAGAGGCAAGUUCGGUCAUGAUGAAGAAAAAUCAAGGCGUACCCCUUUUAACAAUAGGGAGCAGCUCGAGGCUGCAAAGAGGUAAGCAGGGGUAAGAAGAAAACGGCAUCUGCUUCCAUGGUUACAGGCCAACUAUGAGAACCUUGCUUUUCAAGGGAGCCUGUUCUCAGGCUCCCUCACGGGGUAUGUCAUGCAUUAUAAGCAAAGGCAGGUUGAGCUGAAAUCCGCAUAGUUAUUUCAGAGUAAAAUGAUACGGAGCACAUGGCUGGCAGAAAAAAAAAAAGUCACAUGACUAUUAAGAACCAGACUUGGGCUAUUUCAGAAUAGAAUUUUUUUUUCUUAAACCAGUUUAAGAAAAGACAGUAAAUUUGUAUAAAAUGAAGAGCCAC
This 907-nucleotide long non-coding RNA is filed under the name Bos mutus (wild yak). Its description in RNAcentral is "lncRNA (ENSBMUG00000009938.1)". Lineage: Eukaryota; Metazoa; Chordata; Mammalia; Artiodactyla; Bovidae. The record is from RNAcentral.